This 415-nucleotide ribosomal RNA is filed under the name uncultured prokaryote. RNAcentral's name for it is "bacterial SSU rRNA". It matches the Rfam family "Bacterial small subunit ribosomal RNA", at positions 505 to 918 of the family's 1533-position model. The record is from RNAcentral.
GUGCCAGCCGCCGCGGUAAUACAUAAGGAGCAAGCGUUGUCCGGAAUUAUUGGGCGUAAAGAGCUCGUAGGCGGUCUUAAAAGUCAGGUGUAAAAUUAUCAGGCUUAACUUGAUACGGUCAUCUGAAACUCUAAGACUUGAGGUUAGAAGAGGAAAGCGGAAUUCCCGGUGUAGCGGUGAAACGCGUAGAUAUCGGGAGGAACUCCAGUGGCGAAGGCGGCUUUCUGGUCUAUCUCUGACGCUGAUGAACGAAAGCUAGGGGAGCAUACGGGAUUAGAUACCCCGGUAGUCCUAGCUGUAAACGAUGGAGACUAGGUGUGGGAGGUAUCGACCCCUUCUGUGACGCAGCUAACGCAUUAAGUAUCCCGCCUGGGGAGUACGGUCGCAAGGCUGAAACUCAAAGGAAUUGGCGGGG